Molecule: long non-coding RNA, 1462 nt
Filed under: Homo sapiens (human)
Lineage: Eukaryota; Metazoa; Chordata; Mammalia; Primates; Hominidae
Description: HSALNT0298905
Source: RNAcentral
CAUGUCACCACAGUGGUGACCCUUCUCUCUGACUCAUUUCCCAUUAUGAGCACAAUUAGCGUGCAGCAUGUGUCCUGGGAGAUUAAUGAUCCGCUGGAGGGAAGAAAGAGGAACUUGGGGAAUGGAUCUGGGUGUAGUCAGAGCUCGCCUCUCCCUGGGAGCUGCCUUGGUGCUGUAAAGGAUCUCAUGUCUUUUGCCAGCUUUGAUGAAACUUGCUAGUUGGAAAGCAGAGUGAAAUCUCAGGCUCUACAACUCUUGACAUAAGUAUUUUAUUCAUUUUUGGUGUCUAUGUUCUUGAAGUACUUAAGAGAUUUGGGGCUAUGCAAGUAAUAGACCAACUUUGUGAUUCAUAUUAAAAUUAAGUGAUUUAAACGCAGGAUUUUUAAUUUGAAAUUAUUUAAGUUUAUAAACAGUAUGGGAACAUUUAGAAAGACCUGGAUUCAUUCUGUUUAUAAUUGUAAUCCAUUAAAUUUAUGAAAAUUACCUAAGAAAUCUGAAAAGGUUUGGUUUAGCCAUCAGGCAAUUGAAGUACCUAAACAAGGAAAUAAAAUAUAUUAAAUUUAUAAAUCUUACUUUAAAUGUUUGAAUGAGUUAAAUAACUCCGUUUGUAUUGGGACCAAACUCUUUAACUCUUUAAGACUGCCUUAAAUCAUUUUGUUAAAAAUCUUAGAUUGAUUUCCACUUCUAUGUAGAGAGUUAGAAAGUAUAUCACCUCUACCCUAACAACAAGAAUAUGACAAAUGAAAUACAAAAUGAUAAUGUUCCUUGAACUCAUCAGAGGACUGACAUCACAGGGCAACUAAGCAACUAGAAUUCCAAAGAAGGACAAGCCCCUCCAAAGACAGGAAGCAUGAGGGCAGGCUCAUCAGUGUCAGAGCAGGGGAGACCAGCACAGACACCUUACAAGCAGAAUGACCUUCUGUGGCUACAGAGAAAGGCUUCAGGCAAAGAGAUGCAGCUCUGGGCCCCAGAGUCCGCUGGAGCACACUGAAGCUGGAGCACACUGAAGUGGAAGAUGGGGCUGCAGACAGAGACUGGGCAGCCUCUGCUCCAGGGAGGCCCGAGAGCCAGAGAGCAGAUUCCAUAAGAAGAAUAACUCCCAUUCCUCAUGCAUGAGACCCUCUGCUAAAUGCUUCCUGUGCACCACCUCCAGAAAUCCUCCCAAGCCAGGACACCAGCAGUAUUACAGGAACUGGAUGACAAAAAGAAGAGCCGAUAUAACCAGGAACCUACUCUGGCCACCCCAAGUGCUCCGCAUCAAGACUCAGCUGCAGAGAUGACUUCAGUGCAAGUCACAUACACACCAUUGGGCUGGUACCCGUGGCAGCUCUGCAGGGCUUCCAUAUUGGUCAUGGAUUUGGAUGGUGAGAAGAGCUGAGACAGACGGCACAGGUUCUCAGGAUGCUUGAGGCAGGUUGAUUGAGAAUCAUCCAGGGAGAUGGGGGAAAUUCUGCCUUCACAA